UACGUAGGGUGCGAGCGUUAAUCGGAAUUACUGGGCGUAAAGCGUGCGCAGGCGGUUCGUUAUGUCCGAUGUGAAAGCCCCGAGCUCAACUUGGGAAUGGCAUUGGAAACUGGCGGGCUGGAGUGUGGCAGAGGGGGGUGGAAUUCCACGUGUAGCAGUGAAAUGCGUAGAGAUGUGGAGGAACACCGACGGCGAAGGCAGCCCCCUGGGCCAACACUGACGCUCAGGCACGAAAGCGUGGGGAGCAAACAGG
This 253-nucleotide ribosomal RNA is filed under the name uncultured bacterium. RNAcentral describes it as "partial 16S ribosomal RNA". It matches the Rfam family "Bacterial small subunit ribosomal RNA", at positions 524 to 776 of the family's 1533-position model. The record is from RNAcentral.